This 253-nucleotide ribosomal RNA is filed under the name uncultured bacterium. Its description in RNAcentral is "partial 16S ribosomal RNA". It matches the Rfam family "Bacterial small subunit ribosomal RNA", at positions 524 to 776 of the family's 1533-position model. The record is from RNAcentral.
UACAGAGGUGGCAAGCGUUGUUCGGAAUUACUGGGCGUAAAGGGCGAGUAGGCGGCCUUCUAAGUCAGACGUGAAAUCCCCCGGCUUAACCUGGGAACUGCGUCUGAUACUGGGAGGCUCGAGUAUGGGAGAGGGAUGUAGAAUUCCAGGUGUAGCGGUGAAAUGCGUAGAUAUCUGGAGGAAUACCGGUGGCGAAGGCGGCAUCCUGGACCAUUACUGACGCUGAAUCGCGAAAGCUAGGGAAGAAACGGGG